CAGGCUCGAGUCCCGCUCGACCCGACGACCUGCGCGCAUCGGCAGCCUAGGGUUUGGCCGCCGCCGCCGCCUCCGCUGGCCGCCGGCCGUCGCCGCCGCCGCCCCUGCCUCCGCGGCUCACUACGGCGACACUCCACAUCCGGCAGUGCUACGACGGGAGGUGGCAUGAACACAAGCAGAUCCGGUUGAAGAUGAGGAGAACGAAUAUAGCAUGGCAAUAUUCGUAGUAGGACAGCUCAUGCUUGUCUAGCGAUGGCAACAUAAGUUUAGCUAUGUCGAUGGAGGUCAUCAUCAUGUGAACCAUACAUGUCUUGUAUGGUGCAUGUCUUUGUAAUAAUAUUAUGGGAGCAUUAUCUAUAUAAAUGUAUGCAACAUCAAAGUAUAGUUGUUCAA
Long non-coding RNA from Triticum aestivum (bread wheat), 393 nucleotides. RefSeq lists it as uncharacterized. NCBI's taxonomy places the organism in Eukaryota, Viridiplantae, Streptophyta, Magnoliopsida, Poales, Poaceae. The transcript is spliced from 2 exons. The record is from RefSeq and is a predicted model, not a curated record.